Ornithodoros turicata is the source of this 1105-nucleotide long non-coding RNA. RefSeq lists it as uncharacterized. NCBI's taxonomy places the organism in Eukaryota, Metazoa, Arthropoda, Arachnida, Ixodida, Argasidae. The transcript is spliced from 2 exons. The record is from RefSeq and is a predicted model, not a curated record.
UGUAGACACGCAAAUUCUGCUCCUGGCGUUGAUCGUCAGUAGAAGAGCGUAGCUUAGGUGGGGUUCUGUCUGCCUCUGAUGGGGUGCGGAUGUGUGGUUCGUCACUGGUGAAUGGUGUUCGACGAUGCAGGUGGAUUUUGUGACGAGCGGAUUUACAAUGAGGGAAUGUAGUGUACGUGUCCGAUGAUAGUGAGCGUCUUUUCACUCUGUUCAAGUGUUCGUUUUCCUCUGUUGCCCAACAGUCGUGCGAAUUUGUCCUGACGUGUCCUGACAUGCCCCGAUAUGCAUGGUUUCCUUUGUUAACGCUUUGUAUUUUGUCUUUUUUGACAAGGAACAUUGUCGUCUUGACGAUAGUGCUGCCCUGAGUUCUGCGCGCGUUGAUUUGUUGAGUGCCUAGUCCUCUUAUUAGCCGUUGAUGGGGUUACAUGUUGGGAUAUUUUGUUCUUUUGCAAGUCUCAUUUAGUAAGACUUUGGAAUUCCUACGAUCAGCUUUCAUGCAUGGUGCUCUUCUGCAAUAGUUUCCUAUGCAAUCGUUAUAGAAGAGUAAAGGAAAUAACCUUGGGAUAGUGAUUCAAUAAAUAAUAGGUCCCCUGUCUAGAGCGCACGCGUCCUUGAGCCACGCAGGUGCAUGAGGACGUCAUACCGUGGCUUCAUUGUAGAUUGACCAAAGGAGCAUUAGUGGAAAAAAACAGUGUAGCCCUGAGACAAUAGGAUGAUGUCUGGACCAAUGAGAACGGCCAGCAGGGGGCGCAGGAAUGCUCUUCUCUCUUAGCCUCUCGCAGGUGGCGGUAGGAGCGCGCAGAGGGCGCUAUGAGCGCGCGCAUGCGUAGCACCCGUAGAGUGGCGUUUACGUCAGUUCACCUCUGGCUCUCGUUGGGAGAAGACGUGCGGUCGUUCGCUCCGUCGUCACUUGAUCCCUGGCUGUCGACGAGUGCGGACGCUCCGUCGCAGCGGGGAAAAAGAGCUACGAUGCUGGCGCCAUCUGGUGUGAUGCCUUGGAACUAGCGUGCCACCUGCCUCUGCAACCGUCGUGCUCCAGUCGCCCCGGCGUGAUUUCUUCAAGAUGGCGUCGUUGAUUUUCAAAUAAAUCAUUUCCUACUGUCUG